CAAUAGCGUAUAUUUAAGUUGUUGCAGUUAAAAAGCUCGUAGUCGGAUUUUGGCUGAGAACGAUCGGUCCGCCGUUAGGUGUGCACUGAUUGGUCUCAGCUUCCUGGUGAGGAGAUGUGCUUCACGGCCACUUAGUCACCGUGGUUACUUUGAAAAAAUUAGAGUGUUCAAAGCGGGCUUACGCUUGAAUAUAUUAGCAUGGAAUAACACCAUAGGACUCCUGUCCUAUUUCGUUGGUCACGGGACGGGAGUAAUGAUUAAGAGGAACAGUUGGGGGCAUUCGUAUUUCAUUGUCAGAGGUGAAAUUCUUGGAUUUAUGAAAGACGAACUUCUGCGAAAGCAUUUGCCAAGGAUGUUUUCAUUGA
This 365-nucleotide ribosomal RNA is filed under the name uncultured eukaryote. Its description in RNAcentral is "partial 18S ribosomal RNA". It matches the Rfam family "Eukaryotic small subunit ribosomal RNA", at positions 592 to 976 of the family's 1831-position model. The record is from RNAcentral.